Molecule: ribosomal RNA, 665 nt
Filed under: Xenorhina cf. oxycephala ZMB 74635
Lineage: Eukaryota; Metazoa; Chordata; Amphibia; Anura; Microhylidae
Description: partial 12S ribosomal RNA
Rfam family: Bacterial small subunit ribosomal RNA (bases 1-490)
Source: RNAcentral
GCUUAGCCUUAAAAUAUUGACCCACACCAAAACCGCCCGGAAAUUACGAGCUCAAGCUUAAAACCCAAAGGACUUGACGGUGUCCCAUCCACCUAGAGGAGCCUGUUCUAUAAUCGAUACUCCCCGAUCAACCCCACCACCUCUUGAAUAAUCAGCCUGUAUACCUCCGUCGCAAGCUCACCAUGUGAACGUAUAAAGUGAGCCUAAAGGUUAAAAACCCAAACGUCAGGUCAAGGUGCAGCCAACGAGGCGGGAAGUAAUGGGCUACAAUCUCUACCCUAGAACACACAGAAAACUGCAUGCAAUACAGUAAUUGAAGGCGGAUUUAGAAGUAAAAAGAAAAUAGAGAGUUCUUUUUAAUAAGGCACUGGGACGCGUACACACCGCCCGUCACCCUCUUCAACCCACUCCCGUAUUAAUACACCCCCAUAGAAGAGGCAAGUCGUAACAUGGUAGGCGUACUGGAAAGUGUGCCUGGAUUAACAAAAUGUAGCUUAAUAAAAGUAUCCUGCUUACACCAAGAACAUGUUAGUUAUCUACUAACCAUUUUGAGCCCAAAACCUAGCCCUAAUCAACUGAAUACCAAAACUACAUUAAUAAUAGACAGUAAAACAUUUUAUCAACUUAGUAAAGGCGAUUAAAAAGCACCUAGGAGCUACAACUAU